Molecule: non-coding RNA, 167 nt
Filed under: Protocruzia adhaerens
Lineage: Eukaryota; Ciliophora; Spirotrichea
Source: RNAcentral
GAAGAAACCAAACCGAAAAACGAACCCCCCAAAAAAGAAAGAAAAUCAAGUUAUCCUAUUUCCGUUCGCACCAUGCUAUCGACUUCUGACAUCUUGGUUGCAUAACAAUAUUCUUGUUUUCUCCUCAUUCUCUUUUCUAAAGAAUGAAGAAACUUGAAGAAAGUUCG